Molecule: unclassified non-coding RNA, 822 nt
Filed under: Hevea brasiliensis (rubber tree)
Lineage: Eukaryota; Viridiplantae; Streptophyta; Magnoliopsida; Malpighiales; Euphorbiaceae
Source: RNAcentral
AUUACAACAAUGUUCUAAAAUCAAAAUCAACAAAUCAGAAAACUAGAGCACUUCCCAGAAGAGCGAAAAGCCCAAACUGAAAACUCACGUUCAGCUCGUUAAUCUUGUAGCCAGCGUUAGUACUGUUAGUAGAACUGCCGUUAGUUGGGGUAGUAGAAUUAGUACCUGCUCCAGUUGCAGUAUUUCGACCGCUGCUCUGUGAGGCCACCAAUUCCAGUGUUCCCAUUGCCUGCAGAUUCGCUUGGGCGAACUCGUGCUUUGCUGGAAAUCCGUCUUUCACCGACGGACCCACUUGCCAAAUCUGGUUCACCUUCGCCAAGCUUUCCGGGAUCUUUACUGCAGCGAAGAUCACGAAGUUACCACUGGAGUCGGAAUCUGCACUCAAGUCCCAUGUCUCGACCGCUAGCUUUGAUGUCUCUUUAAUAUCACUGUAAGAGGCGAUGCUGAAUUUCUUCACAACCACUACGCUAUCGUUUUUCAUCGCUACCAGAGCCUGAGCCCCUGCCAUGCCGGUGCCAUUGAGGUUGAUGGCCCACCCCACCCAGCCAUCAGAUUUGGACGGAGGGGCCUUGAAGGCGAUUGAAAGUGAAGAGUUGGAGGCAUUGUAGGUGUAGUGUAGGUAGGAGUUGAGUGUGGACAGGUCUAUACAGUUAUCAUAGAGCCGGUUGGUGAACUUCUGGGAUGUGCAGUUGAGUGAAUGUGCAGGUGAGAUCAGCAGAACCACCACCACCGUCCAGAGAGAAACAAACAAGGCAGGACAACAAACAAAGGAACGGGAAGCCAUCGUUAAUGUCAAACAAAGCUCUGCAGAUGAAAUUGGCC